RNAcentral lists this long non-coding RNA (246 nucleotides) under Amborella trichopoda. RNAcentral describes it as "long non-coding RNA (ATRI_LNC005136)". Lineage: Eukaryota; Viridiplantae; Streptophyta; Magnoliopsida; Amborellales; Amborellaceae. The record is from RNAcentral.
GCCAAUCUAUCGUCAAGUGAUCGAACGGUUUAUUCAAAAUUUCAAAAUGGCUCAAUAUGGUUAUUUACUUAAUUUGUAUCACAAAUUUUGCCUCCUUUCCAGUACCCUGAGAGCAAAAACCAGAAUUUCGAUCAUAAAAACUCUUGUUACAUAACAAAAUUCUCCCUUUAGUAUUCUUCCAAUUCAGAAAACCAUGCAAUUCAAUGGACCUUCUCUGAAAAAAUUCUCUUUUUCCCCCUUUUUUAG